RNAcentral lists this ribosomal RNA (228 nucleotides) under uncultured bacterium. Its description in RNAcentral is "partial 16S ribosomal RNA". It matches the Rfam family "Bacterial small subunit ribosomal RNA", at positions 118 to 348 of the family's 1533-position model. The record is from RNAcentral.
UGAGCAAUCUGCCCUUCUCUUCGGAAUAAGCGUUGGAAACGACGUCUAAUGCCGAAUACGACCUCCUUUCGCAUGAUCGGAGGUGGAAAGCUCCGGCGGUGAAGGAUGAGCUCGCGGCCUAUCAGCUUGUUGGUGAGGUAAUAGCUCACCAAGGCGAUGACGGGUAGCCGGCCUGAGAGGGUGACCGGCCACACUGGGACUGAGACACGGCCCAGACUCCUAGGGAGG